UUUAAAUUGAGAGUUUGAUCCUGGCUCAGGACGAACGCUGGCGGCGUGCCUAACACAUGCAAGUCGAGCGAUGAAACUUCCUUCGGGAAGUGGAUUAGCGGCGGACGGGUGAGUAACACGUGGGUAACCUGCCUCAAAGAGUGGGAUAGCCUCCCGAAAGGGAGAUUAAUACCGCAUAACAUUAUUUUAUGGCAUCAUAAAAUAAUCAAAGGAGCAAUCCGCUUUGAGAUGGACCCGCGGCGCAUUAGCUAGUUGGUGAGGUAACGGCUCACCAAGGCAACGAUGCGUAGCCGACCUGAGAGGGUGAUCGGCCACAUUGGAAC
Molecule: ribosomal RNA, 323 nt
Filed under: Clostridium botulinum C/D str. BKT2873
Lineage: Bacteria; Bacillati; Bacillota; Clostridia; Eubacteriales; Clostridiaceae
Description: bacterial SSU rRNA
Rfam family: Bacterial small subunit ribosomal RNA
Source: RNAcentral